CCGUCCCUGCGGCGCGCGUGAUGCCUAAGGUGGUUCGAACCGACGCUUUUAACGAGCCGGAGCCCAACGGUAUGCGAUAGUGGCAGCCCCUAGUGGGAAUCGCGAGGCGCAGCCUAAGGCUCCAACCAUGAAUAUGGGGUUCGCGACCCCGGCGGCACACGGCGUUGCGGGGACUAU
This 177-nucleotide non-coding RNA is filed under the name Armatimonadota bacterium. Its description in RNAcentral is "Armatimonadetes bacterium (activated sludge metagenome) 6S RNA". It matches the Rfam family "6S / SsrS RNA". From Rfam's summary of the family: E. coli 6S RNA was the first non coding RNA to be sequenced, but its function was unknown until recently. It consists of 184 nucleotides that fold into an extended hairpin structure with a large single-stranded internal bulge. The record is from RNAcentral. Lineage: Bacteria; Bacillati; Armatimonadota.